Molecule: ribosomal RNA, 67 nt
Filed under: Diaphorocera hemprichi
Lineage: Eukaryota; Metazoa; Arthropoda; Insecta; Coleoptera; Meloidae
Description: partial 28S ribosomal RNA
Source: RNAcentral
AGCGACCUCAGGUUAGGUGAAACUACCCGAAGAAUUUAAGCAUAUUAAUAAGCGGAGGAAAGAAACU